AUUGAACGCUGGCGGCAUGCUUUACACAUGCAAGUCGAACGGUAACAGGCCUUCGGGUGCUGACGAGUGGCGAACGGGUGAGUAAUGCAUCGGAACGUGCCCAGAGGGGGGGGAUAACGCAGCGAAAGCUGUGCUAAUACCGCAUGUGAUCUGAGGAUGAAAGCGGGGGACCAGGCAGCAAUGGUUGGCCUCGCGCCUUUGGAGCGGCCGAUGUCAGAUGAGGUAGGUGGUGGGGUAAAGGCCUACCAAGCCGACGAUCUGUAGCUGGUCUGAGAGGACGACCAGCCACACUGGGACUGAGACACGGCCCAGACUCCUACGGGAGGCAGCAGUGGGGAAUUUUGGACAAUGGGCGCAAGCCUGAUCCAGCAAUGCCGCGUGCGGGAUGAAGGCCUUCGGGUUGUAAACCGCUUUUGUACGGAACGAACAGGCUCUGGCUAAUCCCUGGGGCUGAUGACGGUACCGUAAGAAUAAGCACCGGCUAACUACGUG
This 492-nucleotide ribosomal RNA is filed under the name uncultured bacterium. RNAcentral's name for it is "partial 16S ribosomal RNA". It matches the Rfam family "Bacterial small subunit ribosomal RNA", at positions 29 to 507 of the family's 1533-position model. The record is from RNAcentral.